UACGUAGGGUCCGAGCGUUGUCCGGAUUUAUUGGGCGUAAAGAGCUCGUAGGCGGCCACUCAAGUCGAAUGUGAAACCUCGAGGCUUAACCUCGAGCCUGCAUUCGAUACUGGGCGGCUAGAGUCUGGUAGGGGGAUCUGGAAUUCCUGGUGUAGCGGUGGAAUGCGCAGAUAUCUGGAGGAACACCGGUGGCGAAGGCGGCAUCCUGGACCGGUAUUGACGCUGAGGCACGAAAGCGUGGGGAGCAAACAGG
This 253-nucleotide ribosomal RNA is filed under the name uncultured bacterium. RNAcentral describes it as "partial 16S ribosomal RNA". It matches the Rfam family "Bacterial small subunit ribosomal RNA", at positions 524 to 776 of the family's 1533-position model. The record is from RNAcentral.